UACAGAGGGUGCUAACGUUGUUCGGAAUUACUGGGCAUAAAGCGCACGUAGGCGGUGCGUCAAGUGCGGGGUGAAAUCCCACGGCUUACCCGUGGAACAGCUUUGCAUACUGACGUGCUGGAGUGCGGUAGAGGAGAGCGGAACUCUUGGUGGAGCGGUGAAAUGCGUAGAUAUCAAGAGGAACACCGAAGGCGAAGGCAGCUCUCUGGGCCGUGACUGACGCUGAGGUGCGAAAGCCAGGGGAUCAAACGGG
This 253-nucleotide ribosomal RNA is filed under the name uncultured bacterium. Its description in RNAcentral is "partial 16S ribosomal RNA". It matches the Rfam family "Bacterial small subunit ribosomal RNA", at positions 524 to 776 of the family's 1533-position model. The record is from RNAcentral.